RNAcentral lists this long non-coding RNA (614 nucleotides) under Homo sapiens (human). RNAcentral describes it as "HSALNT0283496". Lineage: Eukaryota; Metazoa; Chordata; Mammalia; Primates; Hominidae. The record is from RNAcentral.
CCUUUCCACUCUUCAUGGUUUUUUUUAAGGGUCUCCUCUGUGAAGCAUUCUUGUUCCUACUUCGUAAAGAGUCAAGAACUUUUUCCUCUCACCACGGAUUCUUGUAAAUAUUUAUUGCAAUGAUCACUUUUUAUUAAACUUGUUUAUUUACAUAUCUACCUCUCAUUCUAGACCUUAAGUUCCUUGCAAUCAGGAACUAUAUCUUACUUCUCUAUCAGCAUCUGGCAGGCUGCUUAUAAAAACAAGUGGCUUGGCCAGGCACAGUGGCUCAUGCCUGUAAUCCCAGCACUUUGGGAAGACAAGGUAGGUGGAUCGCUUGAGGUCAAGAGUUCUAGACCAGCCUGGCCAACAUGGUAAAGCCCCGUCUUGGCUGGGCGCGGUGGCUCACGCCUGUAAUCCCAGCACUUUGAGAGGCCAAGGCGGGCGGAUCCUCUGAGGUCAGGAGUUUGAAACCAGCCUGGCCAACAUGGCGAAACUCCGUCUCUACUAAAAAUACAAAAAUUAGCUGGGCAUGAUGGCAGGCGCCUGUAAUCCCAGCUACUGAGGAGGCUGAGGCACAAGAAUCGCUUGAACCCGGGAGGCGGAUGUUGCAGUGAGCUGAGAUCGUACCACUG